CCUAGGGGUGGCAGCAGUGGGGAAUAUUGGACAAUGGGCGAAAGCCUGAUCCAGCCAUGCCGCGUGUGUGAAGAAGGCCUUCGGGUUGUAAAGCACUUUCAGUGGGGAAGAAAGCCUUGGGGCUAAUACCCUCGAGGAAGGACAUCACCCACAGAAGAAGCACCGGCUAACUCCGUGCCAGCAGCCGCGGUAAUACGGAGGGUGCGAGCGUUAAUCGGAAUUACUGGGCGUAAAGCGCGCGUAGGCGGUCUGAUAAGCCGGUUGUGAAAGCCCCGGGCUCAACCUGGGAACGGCAUCCGGAACUGUCAGGCUAGAGUGCAGGAGAGGAAGGUAGAAUUCCCGGUGUAGCGGUGAAAUGCGUAGAGAUCGGGAGGAAUACCAGUGGCGAAGGCGGCCUUCUGGACUGACACUGACGCUGAGGUGCGAAAGCGUGGGUAGCAAACAGGAUUAGAUACCCUAGUAUC
Molecule: ribosomal RNA, 464 nt
Filed under: Vreelandella stevensii
Lineage: Bacteria; Pseudomonadati; Pseudomonadota; Gammaproteobacteria; Oceanospirillales; Halomonadaceae
Description: partial 16S ribosomal RNA
Rfam family: Bacterial small subunit ribosomal RNA
Source: RNAcentral